This 497-nucleotide ribosomal RNA is filed under the name uncultured bacterium. RNAcentral's name for it is "partial 16S ribosomal RNA". It matches the Rfam family "Bacterial small subunit ribosomal RNA", at positions 28 to 507 of the family's 1533-position model. The record is from RNAcentral.
GAUGAACGCUGGCGGCGUGCCUAAUACAUGCCAGUCGAGCGAACAGAUGAGGAGCUUGCUCCUCUGACGUUAGCGGCGGACGGGUGAGUAACACGUGGAUAACCUACCUAUAAGACUGGGAUAACUUCGGGAAACCGGAGCUAAUACCGGAUAAUAUAUUGAACCUCAUGGUUCAAUAGUGAAAGACGGUUUUGCUGUCACUUAUAGAUGGAUCCGCGCCGCAUUAGCUAGUUGGUAAGGUAACGGCUUACCAAGGCAACGAUGCGUAGCCGACCUGAGAGGGUGAUCGGCCACACUGGAACUGAGACACGGUCCAGACUCCUACGGGAGGCAGCAGUAGGGAAUCUUCCGCAAUGGGCGAAAGCCUGACGGAGCAACGCCGCGUGAGUGAUGAAGGUCUUCGGAUCGUAAAACUCUGUUAUUAGGGAAGAACAAAUGUGUAAGUAACUAUGCACGUCUUGACGGUACCUAAUCAGAAAGCUACGGCUAACUACGUG